RNAcentral lists this ribosomal RNA (375 nucleotides) under uncultured bacterium. Its description in RNAcentral is "bacterial SSU rRNA". It matches the Rfam family "Bacterial small subunit ribosomal RNA", at positions 523 to 898 of the family's 1533-position model. The record is from RNAcentral.
AUACGUAGGGGGCGAGCGUUGUCCGGAAUUACUGGGCGUAAAGCGCGCGCAGGCGGCUUGUUAAGUCAGGUGUCAAAAUGCGGGGCUCAACCCCGUAUCGCACUUGAAACUGGUAGGCUUGAGUGCAGGAGAGGGAAGUGGAAUUCCCAGUGUAGCGGUGAAAUGCGUAGAUAUUGGGAGGAACACCAGUGGCGAAGGCGACUUCCUGGACUGUAACUGACGCUCAGGCGCGAAAGCUAGGGGAGCAAACAGGAUUAGAUACCCUGGUAGUCCUAGCCGUAAACGAUGGGUACUAGGUGUUGGGGGUUUCAAUCCUCCAGUGCCGCAGUUAACGCAUUAAGUACCCCGCCUGGGGAGUACGGCCGCAAGGCUGAA